UCAGUGGAUACAAGAUCGUAAGUACAAAGGGGUAUUGAAGAUUAACAGUUUGGGUUGUUCGGGGUUCUCUGUAACGUCUAGAGACCUACCGACUGGGGCAAAAAAAAAAGACUUCGACAAGCAGUCGAAGAGCAUCCGUAUAGAUUUACGGUACAUUGUUGCAGUCGUUUAUAUUCCAGCAAUCAAAAACUGAUAGACUGCUUGACUAU
This 209-nucleotide long non-coding RNA is filed under the name Physcomitrium patens. Its description in RNAcentral is "long non-coding RNA (PPAT_LNC013579)". The record is from RNAcentral. Lineage: Eukaryota; Viridiplantae; Streptophyta; Bryopsida; Funariales; Funariaceae.